RNAcentral lists this unclassified non-coding RNA (254 nucleotides) under Periconia sp. RNAcentral's name for it is "partial internal transcribed spacer region". The stretch from base 1 to 46 matches the Rfam family "Eukaryotic small subunit ribosomal RNA", at positions 1786 to 1831 of the family's 1831-position model. The record is from RNAcentral. RNAcentral also lists the same sequence under 1 other name. Lineage: Eukaryota; Fungi; Ascomycota; Dothideomycetes; Pleosporales; Periconiaceae.
AAGUCGUAACAAGGUUUCCGUAGGUGAACCUGCGGAAGGAUCAUUACAACAAGGUUCCCUGGCCCUCCAAGCUUCGGCGGAAGGGGGCCACAGCCUGACUUUAUACCCACCCUUUGCCUAUGUGUACCCCUAUUGCUUCCCUCGGCGGGUUCGCCCGCCGACAGGAACCAACUAAACCCUUUGCAUUAUACAUUUAACACUUCCGAUACAAAACUAAAUUAUUACAACUUUUAACAAUGGAUCUCUUGGUUCUG